Molecule: ribosomal RNA, 433 nt
Filed under: uncultured bacterium
Lineage: Bacteria
Description: partial 16S ribosomal RNA
Rfam family: Bacterial small subunit ribosomal RNA
Source: RNAcentral
AACGAACGCUGGCGGCAUGCCUAACACAUGCAAGUCGAACGAGACCUUCGGGUCUAGUGGCGCACGGGUGCGUAAUGCGUGGGAACCUGCCCUUAGGUUCGGAAUAACUCCUCGAAAGGGGUGCUAAUACCGGAUAAUGUCUUCGGACCAAAGAUUUAUCGCCUUUGGAUGGGCCCGCGUUGGAUUCGCUAGUUGGUAGGGUAAAAGCCUACCAAGGCGACGAUCCAUAGCUGGUCUGAGAGGAUGAUCAGCCACACUGGGACUGAGACACGGCCCAGACUCCUACGGGAGGCAGCAGUGGGGAAUAUUGGACAAUGGGCGAAAGCCUGAUCCAGCAAUGCCGCGUGAGUGAUGAAGGCCUUAGGGUUGUAAAGCUCUUUUACCCGGGAUGAUAAUGACAGUACCGGGAGAAUAAGCUCCGGCUAACUCCGUG